This 253-nucleotide ribosomal RNA is filed under the name uncultured bacterium. RNAcentral's name for it is "partial 16S ribosomal RNA". It matches the Rfam family "Bacterial small subunit ribosomal RNA", at positions 524 to 776 of the family's 1533-position model. The record is from RNAcentral.
UACGUAGGGUGCAAGCGUUAAUCGGAAUUACUGGGCGUAAAGCGUGCGCAGGCGGUUUUGUAAGACUGUCGUGAAAGCCCCGGGCUCAACCUGGGAAUUGCGAUGGAGACUGCAAGGCUUGAAUCUGGCAGAGGGGGGUAGAAUUCCACGUGUAGCAGUGAAAUGCGUAGAGAUGUGGAGGAACACCGAUGGCGAAGGCAGCCCCCUGGGUCAAGAUUGACGCUCAUGCACGAAAGCGUGGGGAGCAAACAGG